RNAcentral lists this ribosomal RNA (1383 nucleotides) under uncultured microorganism. RNAcentral's name for it is "16S ribosomal RNA". It matches the Rfam family "Bacterial small subunit ribosomal RNA", at positions 28 to 1392 of the family's 1533-position model. The record is from RNAcentral.
GAUGAACGCUGGCGGCGUGCCUAAUACAUGCAAGUCGAGCGAACGGACGAGAAGCUUGCUUCUCUGAUGUUAGCGGCGGACGGGUGAGUAACACGUGGAUAACCUACCUAUAAGACUGGGAUAACUUCGGGAAACCGGAGCUAAUACCGGAUAAUAUUUUGAACCGCAUGGUUCAAAAGUGAAAGACGGUCUUGCUGUCACUUAUAGAUGGAUCCGCGCUGCAUUAGCUAGUUGGUAAGGUAACGGCUUACCAAGGCAACGAUGCAUAGCCGACCUGAGAGGGUGAUCGGCCACACUGGAACUGAGACACGGUCCAGACUCCUACGGGAGGCAGCAGUAGGGAAUCUUCCGCAAUGGGCGAAAGCCUGACGGAGCAACGCCGCGUGAGUGAUGAAGGUCUUCGGAUCGUAAAACUCUGUUAUUAGGGAAGAACAUAUGUGUAAGUAACUGUGCACAUCUUGACGGUACCUAAUCAGAAAGCCACGGCUAACUACGUGCCAGCAGCCGCGGUAAUACGUAGGUGGCAAGCGUUAUCCGGAAUUAUUGGGCGUAAAGCGCGCGUAGGCGGUUUUUUAAGUCUGAUGUGAAAGCCCACGGCUCAACCGUGGAGGGUCAUUGGAAACUGGAAAACUUGAGUGCAGAAGAGGAAAGUGGAAUUCCAUGUGUAGCGGUGAAAUGCGCAGAGAUAUGGAGGAACACCAGUGGCGAAGGCGACUUUCUGGUCUGUAACUGACGCUGAUGUGCGAAAGCGUGGGGAUCAAACAGGAUUAGAUACCCUGGUAGUCCACGCCGUAAACGAUGAGUGCUAAGUGUUAGGGGGUUUCCGCCCCUUAGUGCUGCAGCUAACGCAUUAAGCACUCCGCCUGGGGAGUACGACCGCAAGGUUGAAACUCAAAGGAAUUGACGGGGACCCGCACAAGCGGUGGAGCAUGUGGUUUAAUUCGAAGCAACGCGAAGAACCUUACCAAAUCUUGACAUCCUUUGACAACUCUAGAGAUAGAGCCUUCCCCUUCGGGGGACAAAGUGACAGGUGGUGCAUGGUUGUCGUCAGCUCGUGUCGUGAGAUGUUGGGUUAAGUCCCGCAACGAGCGCAACCCUUAAGCUUAGUUGCCAUCAUUAAGUUGGGCACUCUAAGAUGACUGCCGGUGACAAACCGGAGGAAGGUGGGGAUGACGUCAAAUCAUCAUGCCCCUUAUGAUUUGGGCUACACACGUGCUACAAUGGACAAUACAAAGGGCAGCGAAACCGCGAGGUCAAGCAAAUCCCAUAAAGUUGUUCUCAGUUCGGAUUGUAGUCUGCAACUCGACUACAUGAAGCUGGAAUCGCUAGUAAUCGUAGAUCAGCAUGCUACGGUGAAUACGUUCCCGGGUCUUGUACACACCG